UGAAUACGAGACGCUAAGGCGUCGAAGUAGUGUAUGUCAUACUUCCAAGAAAAGCUUGCACUGUCAUAGAUAAAAAACGCCUGUACCAUAACCGACACAGGUGGGUAGGUAGAGUAUACUAAGGGGCGCGAGAUAACUCUCUCUAAGGAACUCGGCAAAAUAACUCCGUAACUUCGGGAGAAGGAGUGCCUUAUUCGUAAGGUUGCAAUAACAAGAUCCAAGCAACUGUUUAUCAAAAACACAGGUCUCCGCUAAGUCGUAAGACGAUGUAUGGGGGCUGACGCCUGCCCAGUGCCAGAAGGUUAAAGAAGUUGGUUAGCAAUUGCGAAGCUGAUAACUGAAGCCCUGGUGAACGGCGGCCGUAACAAUAACGGUCCUAAGGUAGCGAAAUUCCUUCUCGGGUAAGUUCCGACCCGCACGAAAGGCGUAAUGAUUUGGAUACUGUCUCGGAGAGGGGCUCGGUGAAAUAGACUUGUCUGUGAAGAUGCGGACUACCUGCACCAGGACAGAAAGACCCUAUGAAGCUUUACUGUAACUUGAAAUUGAAAUUGGACUUUAUUCGCGCAGUAUAGGUGGGAGGCGUUGAUCAUAAUCUUGUGGGAUUAUUGGAGCCAUCAGUGAGAUACCACUCUUGUAAUGUUAGAUUUCUAACUUUGAAUCAUUAUCUGGUCAAAGAACAGUUUCAGGCGGGCAGUUUGACUGGGGCGGUCGCCUCCUAAACGGUAACGGAGGCGUACAAAGGUUUCCUCUGAACGGUUAGAAAUCGUAUCUAGAGUGUAAAGGCAUAAGGAAGCUUGACUGUGAGACCUACAAGUCGAGCAGGGACGAAAGUCGGUCUUAGUGAUCUGACGGUACUGAGUGGAAAGGCCGUCACUCAACGGAUAAAAGUCACUCUAAGGAUAACAGGCUGAUCUCCCCCAAGAGUUCACAUCGACGGGGAGGUUUGGCUCCUCGAUGUCGGCUCAUCGCAUCCUGGGGCGGUAGUACGUCCCAAGGGUUGGGCUGUUCGCCCAUGAAAGCGGUACGCGAGCUGGGUUCAGAACGUCGUGAGACAGUUCGGUCCAUAUCCGGUGUAGGCGUUAGAAUAUUGAGAGGAGCCUUCUUUAGUACGAGAGGACCGAGAAGGACAUACCUCUGGUGUACCAGUUAUCGUGCCAACGGUAAACGCUGGGUAGCUAUGUAUGGAGUGGAUAACCGCUGAAAGCAUCUAAGUGGGAAGCCCACCUCAAGAUAAGUA
Molecule: ribosomal RNA, 1237 nt
Filed under: metagenome
Description: bacterial LSU rRNA
Rfam family: Bacterial large subunit ribosomal RNA
Source: RNAcentral